This 28-nucleotide non-coding RNA is filed under the name Bombyx mori (domestic silkworm). The record is from RNAcentral. Lineage: Eukaryota; Metazoa; Arthropoda; Insecta; Lepidoptera; Bombycidae.
UCAAUGUUGUCGAUGGUGGUCUUUCAGC